RNAcentral lists this ribosomal RNA (529 nucleotides) under uncultured bacterium. Its description in RNAcentral is "bacterial SSU rRNA". It matches the Rfam family "Bacterial small subunit ribosomal RNA", at positions 336 to 865 of the family's 1533-position model. The record is from RNAcentral.
CUCCUACGGGAGGCAGCAGUAAGGAAUAUUGGUCAAUGGAGGCAACUCUGAACCAGCCAUGCCGCGUGGAGGAUGAAGGUCCUCUGGAUUGUAAACUUCUUUUAUCUGGGAAGAAACCCAUAGUUUCUACUGUGGUUGACGGUACCAGAUGAAUAAGCACCGGCUAACUCCGUGCCAGCAGCCGCGGUAAUACGGAGGGUGCAAGCGUUAUCCGGAUUCACUGGGUUUAAAGGGUGCGUAGGUGGGCAGGUAAGUCAGUGGUGAAAUCUCCGGGCUUAACCCGGAAACUGCCGUUGAUACUAUCUGUCUUGAAUGUCGUGGAGGCAGGCGGAAUAUGUCAUGUAGCGGUGAAAUGCUUAGAUAUGACAUAGAACACCGAUUGCGAAGGCAGCUUGCUACACGAUGAUUGACGCUGAGGCACGAAAGCGUGGGGAUCAAACAGGAUUAGAUACCCUGGUAGUCCACGCCCUAAACGAUGAUUACUCGACAUCAGCGAUAAACUGUUGGUGUCUGAGCGAAAGCAUUAAGU